UACCAAAAACACAGCACUUUGCCAACUCGUAAGAGGAAGUAUAAGGUGUGACGCCUGCCCGGUGCUCGAAGGUUAAGAGGAUGCGUCAGUCGCAAGAUGAAGCGUUGAAUUGAAGCCCGAGUAAACGGCGGCCGUAACUAUAACGGUCCUAAGGUAGCGAAAUUCCUUGUCGGUUAAAUACCGACCUGCAUGAAUGGCGUAACGAGAUGGGAGCUGUCUCAACCAGAGAUUCAGUGAAAUUGUAGUGGAGGUGAAAAUUCCUCCUACCCGCGGCAAGACGGAAAGACCCCGUGGACCUUUACUACAACUUAGCACUGCUAAUGGGAAUAUCAUGCGCAGGAUAGGUGGGAGGCUUUGAAGUAAGGGCUUUGGCUCUUAUGGAGCCAUCCUUGAGAUACCACCCUUGAUGUUUCUGUUAGCUAACUGGCCUGUGUUAUCCACAGGCAGGACAAUGCUUGGUGGG
RNAcentral lists this ribosomal RNA (463 nucleotides) under Helicobacter pylori. RNAcentral describes it as "bacterial LSU rRNA". It matches the Rfam family "Bacterial large subunit ribosomal RNA", at positions 1805 to 2265 of the family's 2925-position model. The record is from RNAcentral. Lineage: Bacteria; Pseudomonadati; Campylobacterota; Epsilonproteobacteria; Campylobacterales; Helicobacteraceae.